CGUAGGAGUGAGCCUGCUCGCGAUAGCGGUCUGUCAGUUAACAAUAUGCUGACUGAUACACCGCUAUCGCGAGCAGGCUCACUCCUACA
This 89-nucleotide unclassified non-coding RNA is filed under the name Pseudomonas granadensis. Lineage: Bacteria; Pseudomonadati; Pseudomonadota; Gammaproteobacteria; Pseudomonadales; Pseudomonadaceae. The record is from RNAcentral.